RNAcentral lists this ribosomal RNA (253 nucleotides) under uncultured bacterium. RNAcentral describes it as "partial 16S ribosomal RNA". It matches the Rfam family "Bacterial small subunit ribosomal RNA", at positions 524 to 776 of the family's 1533-position model. The record is from RNAcentral.
UACGAAGGGGGCUAGCGUUGUUCGGAUUUACUGGGCGUAAAGCGCACGUAGGCGGAUCGAUCAGUCAGGGGUGAAAUCCCAGAGCUCAACUCUGGAACUGCCUUUGAUACUGUCGAUCUGGAGUAUGGAAGAGGUGAGUGGAAUUCCGAGUGUAGAGGUGAAAUUCGUAGAUAUUCGCAGGAGCACCAGUGGCGAAGGCGACUUGCUGGAUCUUUGCUGACGCUGAGACGCGAAAGCGUGGGGAGCAAACAGG